Gossypium arboreum is the source of this 369-nucleotide long non-coding RNA. RefSeq lists it as uncharacterized. The transcript has 3 exons. The record is from RefSeq and is a predicted model, not a curated record. Lineage: Eukaryota; Viridiplantae; Streptophyta; Magnoliopsida; Malvales; Malvaceae.
AUUCUCUUUUUACCAGCCGAAUAUGAAGGCUUGAGAAGCCAUGGAAGAAGCUUCCAACUUUCAGCUAAUGCAUGGGUUGCCAGGUUAGAUCGGGUUAGAGGCCGUCAGAGAUAUUAUCACAUUGUCAAGUCUACGCUAUCGGCUGUUUUAUAAUGAAAUCAAAGCUAACUCGGAUUUGGGAAUCGUCGGAGACCUUAUCACACUAUCAAGCUAUCACAUUGGUACUUUUAAAUCUAUGUUUUUAGGAUAUAUGGCAUGUAUAGGAGCUUUGGUCAUUUUGGUAUAUAUGAUAGUAAUGAAUUUAGCCAUUUGGAUUGGCUUGUAAAUGUUUAGUGUUUGGUUUUAUAUAUAGCCAUGAGAGUUGGCUUA